Molecule: non-coding RNA, 23 nt
Filed under: Rattus norvegicus (Norway rat)
Lineage: Eukaryota; Metazoa; Chordata; Mammalia; Rodentia; Muridae
Source: RNAcentral
UGUGUGGUUCACAGACUCGGUAG